UGCCGCCGUAGCUCAGGGGUAGAGCAGCUGAUUUGUAAUCAGCCGGUCGGGGGUUCAAUUCCCUUCGGCGGC
This 72-nucleotide transfer RNA is filed under the name Candidatus Magnetobacterium bavaricum. Its description in RNAcentral is "tRNA-Thr". It matches the Rfam family "tRNA". Rfam says of the family: Transfer RNA (tRNA) molecules are approximately 80 nucleotides in length. Their secondary structure includes four short double-helical elements and three loops (D, anti-codon, and T loops). Lineage: Bacteria; Pseudomonadati; Nitrospirota; Thermodesulfovibrionia; Thermodesulfovibrionales; Magnetobacteriaceae (SeqCode). The record is from RNAcentral.